GUUUUAAUAAUUUAAAAAAAAUACUGGUCUUGUAAAUCAGAAAUGAGCCGCAGCUCUUAAAACU
RNAcentral lists this transfer RNA (64 nucleotides) under Eurynassa australis. RNAcentral's name for it is "tRNA-Thr". Lineage: Eukaryota; Metazoa; Arthropoda; Insecta; Coleoptera; Cerambycidae. The record is from RNAcentral.